RNAcentral lists this ribosomal RNA (511 nucleotides) under uncultured bacterium. RNAcentral's name for it is "bacterial SSU rRNA". It matches the Rfam family "Bacterial small subunit ribosomal RNA", at positions 15 to 518 of the family's 1533-position model. The record is from RNAcentral.
GAUCUGGCUCAGGAUGAACGCUAGCUACAGGCUUAACACAUGCAAGUCGAGGGGCAGCAUUGGGAUAGCUGCUAUUCAGAUGGCGACCGGCGCACGGGUGAGUAACGCGUAUCCAACCUCCUGCCAGUAGGGAACAGCCCGGCGAAAGUCGGAUUAAUGCCCUAUGUUCUUCAAUGCGGACAUCUAAGUUGAAGGAAAGAUUCAUCGCUGGCAGAUGGGGAUGCGUCCGAUUAGCUUGCCGGCGGGGUAACGGCCCACCGGGGCGACGAUCGGUAGGGGUUCUGAGAGGAAGGCCCCCCACACUGGUACUGAGACACGGACCAGACUCCUACGGGAGGCAGCAGUGAGGAAUAUUGGUCAAUGGGCGUAAGCCUGAACCAGCCAAGUAGCGUGCAAGGAUGACGGCCCUACGGGUUGUAAACUGCUUUUAUGCGGGGAUAAAGUGCGGCACGUGUGCCGCUUUGCAGGUACCGCAUGAAUAAGGACCGGCUAAUUCCGUGCCAGCCGCCGC